GCGGAUGCUAACGCAAUGUGA
RNAcentral lists this small RNA (21 nucleotides) under Arabidopsis thaliana (thale cress). Its description in RNAcentral is "Ath_wt_01358". The record is from RNAcentral. Lineage: Eukaryota; Viridiplantae; Streptophyta; Magnoliopsida; Brassicales; Brassicaceae.